AACAAGUUUGAGCGUAUAGGUAACAAUAUAGUCAAGAAGAUGAUGGGAUUAAAAUUAAUUGAUAAACCACGUGCUGAAAGGUUGACGUCGAGGUACACGGUUGCUCCGCGGAUCUACGGUUUGAGGAAAACACAUAAGAAUACAUUUGUGACAUCCAUGUGGAGUGACGUGUUUUUCGGCCGUUAACAAAAAAAUUAAAAUUAAAAAAACUAAUUGGAGGAUGUAAUUUAAUAAUCAAAAAUAUGUAUUGAUGCGACUAUAUACAUGAAAAUACAAGAGGUUGGAGAACAAAAUGUAAAUUUAAAGAGCAAUAACUA
Molecule: long non-coding RNA, 317 nt
Organism: Melitaea cinxia (Glanville fritillary)
Lineage: Eukaryota; Metazoa; Arthropoda; Insecta; Lepidoptera; Nymphalidae
Exons: 3
Source: RefSeq, a predicted model, not a curated record